RNAcentral lists this ribosomal RNA (253 nucleotides) under uncultured bacterium. Its description in RNAcentral is "partial 16S ribosomal RNA". It matches the Rfam family "Archaeal small subunit ribosomal RNA", at positions 474 to 727 of the family's 1478-position model. The record is from RNAcentral.
UACCAGCACCCCGAGUGGUCGGGACUUUUAUUGGGCCUAAAGCAUCCGUAGCCGGUUCUACAAGUCUUCCGUUAAAUCCACCUGCUUAACAGAUGGGCUGCGGAAGAUACUAUAGAGCUAGGAGGCGGGAGAGGCAAGCGGUACUUAGUGGGUAGGGGUAAAAUCCGUUGAUCCAUUGAAGACCACCAGUGGCGAAGGCGGCUUGCCAGAACGCACUCGACGGUGAGGGAUGAAAGCUGGGGGAGCAAACCGG